AAUUUUUCUAACUGUAUAUAUGUGCUGUGUGUACCCCUAGCCAUUAAAAAACUAGUUGUUAAUUUCAUUCGCUGCAAUCUCUCUUAAGUUAGCUCCCAGCUCUCACUUCCGUUUACUUGAAUGUUUAGGGUGGUGGAUGAACGAGACGAAUGCAUUGCGCUCCUAAGAAGAUUCUGAACUGCCGAGGCUACCCAACUAGCUGCGAGUAGACAAGCGAGGCAUGGCUUGGUUACUGACUGCGGUUACUGCGCGAGCGCCGACGCGGCGGGGCGGGGCUUGCUCGGCCCGUUCGGGCUACUCGUGCUGGUCGAAAACGGCCUGUCAGAGCAGACCGCUGUCUACUUCGACCUGGUCAAGGGUGCGGACGGGAAGCUCAGCACUCACUUCUGCCAAGACGCCUUCAGGUCAUUGAAGGCGAACAUUCUCAUCAAGGCCGUUUACGGCAGCUUCGUCCCUGUACUUGAUGGAGAAAAUCUGCCAAGCAGAACAGGAAGAAUGUCAUGCCGGCCCGCAUCAUCAAGCACACCAUGGAGAUCAUACACCUCCUCACCGACGCCAACCCCAUAUUCCCUUCUCUCCUUCCUUGAGAUAGCUUGUAUUAUAUGAUGCACGCCCCGAUGCUCCCCUCGGUCUGGGCACCCGAUGCCAGGCAGGCUGUGGAUGCCCCAGACCUCAAGGCCGGCCGUGCUACUCCAGCUGCUCCUGCCCCGGCCA
Triticum urartu is the source of this 714-nucleotide non-coding RNA. Lineage: Eukaryota; Viridiplantae; Streptophyta; Magnoliopsida; Poales; Poaceae. The record is from RefSeq and is a predicted model, not a curated record.